Mus musculus (house mouse) is the source of this 2131-nucleotide long non-coding RNA. RefSeq annotates it as RIKEN cDNA A630089N07 gene. The transcript is spliced from 5 exons. The record is from RefSeq. NCBI's taxonomy places the organism in Eukaryota, Metazoa, Chordata, Mammalia, Rodentia, Muridae.
CACUUAGUUGCUGAGCAGACUUGAAUGAGCCUGUGUGCUGUGCUCCUUGUCCUGCCGCUGGAUGCUGUGGAUUGUGCUCAGGCAAGCUCCGAAGGAUGAAUUGACCUAUGAUGAUGUGCAUGUGAACUUUACUCGUGAAGAAUGGGCUUUGCUGAAUCCUUCACAGAAGAGCCUCUACAAAGAUGUGAUGUUGGAGACCUACAGGAACCUCAAUGCUAUAGGCUACAAUUGGGAAGACAAUAAUAUUGAAGAACAUUGUCAAAGUUCCAGAAGACAUGGAAGGCAUGAAAGAAGACUUACUGGAGAGAAACCCUCUGAAAAUAUUCAGUGUGGUAAAGACUUUGCAAGUCACAGUUAUCCUCAAAGGCAUGAAAAAAUUCAUACUGGAGAGAAACCCUAUGAAGUGAUGUAUUAAGAUAGACUCUCUCGGAUGGAGCUCCUGGGGGAGCCAUCUUGGGUCCCGGAUCCCUCAGAGACUAGUCUGCACAGGUGAGAGUGCAGACUAUAGAAGCGACACAGCUUCUGGGACAGGCCUUGUUUUGGGCCUUCAUCUUCAGCUAGGAGGCAGGUCCAAACUCCAGAUAUCUGUACACCUUCCCUGCAAGAGGAGAGCUUCCCUGCAGAGAGUACUCUGACCACUGAGACUCAGGAGAGAGCUGGACUCCCAGGUCUGCUGACAGAGGCUAACAGACUCACAGGAGGAACAAGCUCCAACCAGAGACAACUAUAACGACUAACUCCAGAGAUUACCAGAUGGCAAAAGGCAAAUGUAAGAAUCUUACUAACAGAAACCAAGACCACUCACCAUCAUCAGAACCCAGCACUCCCACCUCAGCCAGUCCUGGAUACCCCAACACAUCCGAAAAGCUAGACCUGAAUUUAAAAACAUAUCUCAUGAUGAUGGUAGAGGACAUCAAGAAGUACUUUAAUAAACCACUUAAAGAAAUACAGGGGAACACUGCUAAAGAGUUACAAGUCCUUAAAGAAAAACAGGAAAACACAACCAAACAGGUGAUGGAAAUGAACAAAAUCAUACUAGACCUAAAAAGGGAAGUAGAAACAAUAAAGAAAACCCAAAGUGAGGCAACGCUGGAGAUAGAAACCCUAGGAAAGAAAUCUGGAACCAUAGAUGCGAGCAUCAGCAACAAAUUACAAGAAAUGGAAGGGAGAAUCUCGGGUGCAGAAGAUUCCAUAGAGAACAUGGGCACAACAAUCAAAGAAAAUGCAAAAUGCAAAAAGAUCCUAACUCAAAAUAUCCAGGACACAAUGACAAGACCAAACCUAUGGAUAAUAGGAGUAGAAGAGAAUGAAGAUUUUCACUUUAAAGGGCCAGCAAAUAUCUUCAACAAAAUUAUAGAAGAAAACUUCCCAAACCUAAAGAAAGAGAGAGAUGCCCAUGAACAUACAAGAAGCCUACAGAACUCCAAAUAGACUGAACCAGAAAAGAAAUUCCUCCCGACACAUAAUAAUCAGAACAACAAAUGCACUAAAUAAAGAUAGAAUAUUAAAAGCAGUAAGGGAAAAAGGUCAAGUAACAUGAAGGCAGGCCUAUCAGAAUUACACCAGACUUUUCACCAGAGACUAUGAGAGCUAGAAGAUCCUGGACAGAUGUUAUGCAGACACUAAGAGAACACAGGCUACUAUGCCCAGCCAAACUUUCUAUUACCAUAGAUGGAGAAACCAAAGUAUUCCAUGACAAAACCAUUCACACAUUAUCUUUCCACGAAUCCAGCCCUUCAAGGAUAAUAACAGAAAAAAACCAAUACAACGACGGAAACCACACCCUAGAAAAAGCAAGAAAGUAAUCUUUCAACAAACCUAAAAGAAGACAGCCGUAAGAACAGAAUCCCAACUUUAACAACAAAAAUAACAGGAAGCAACAAUUAACUUUCUUUAAUUUCUCUUCACAUCAAUGGACUCAAUUCCCCAAUAAAAAGACAUAGACUAACAGAAAUGGCUACACAAACAGGACCCAACACUUUGCUGCUUCCGGGAAACCCACCUUAGAGAAAAAGACAGACACUACUUCAGAGUGACAGUCUGGAAAACAAUUUUCCAAGCAAAUGGUCCAAAGAAAUAAGAUGUACCCAUUCUAAUAUCGAAUAAAAUUGACUUCCAACCCAAAGUUAUC